This 1792-nucleotide long non-coding RNA is filed under the name Homo sapiens (human). RNAcentral's name for it is "HSALNT0192990". Lineage: Eukaryota; Metazoa; Chordata; Mammalia; Primates; Hominidae. The record is from RNAcentral.
CAUUCAAUGCCAGCUCAUGAAAGCAGCUGUGGGCUGUACCCUGCAAAGCCACAGAAGUGGAGCUGCCCAAGGCCUUGGGAGCCCACCCCUUGCAUCAGCAUAUCCUGAAUGGGAGACAUGGAGUCACAGGAAAUGUGGGAGUUUUAAGAUUAAAUGCCUGCCCUGCUCAGUUUGGGACUUUCAUUGGACCUGUAGCCCCUUUGUUUUGACCAAUUUCUUCCAUUUGUAACAGGAACAUUUACCCAAUGCCUGCACCUUCACUGUAUCUUGGAAAUAACUAACUUUUUUAUUAUUUUAUAGGCUCAUUGGUGGAAGGAACUUGCCUUGUCUCAGCUGUCAUGUAAGACAUGCUGCCUUGCUUCCCCUUCACCUUCCACCAUGAUUCUAAGUUUCCUGAGGUCUCUCCAGCCAUGCAGAACUUUUCAAACCCCUGGAAUCAUCUGAUUGGUUCGCUUAAAAGUCCACCUUCGUCCAAUUGGUUUUCUCAAAGAGGACAGAUUUGCACAUGGCAAACGUGACUCAUGAACAAAUUCUCUAUGUGUCCCCAUGAAUGAAAGGCCAGUUGCUAGAGAAAGAAAAUCAUAUAUUGGGCAGAUGCCUAAAAGUUGUUACCUGAUGACUGUGAGAGAGAGGAGAAGCAGUAAACUUUUAGUGGAAAAUGAAUAAAUAAAAGGACAUCAGGACGAGAUGCAAAGGAAAGAUGAGAAGAUGAUGACUUUGAAUCAGAAUGGCAGAGAGAUUUGAAGUCAACAAUCACAGAAGAAUCAUCCAUAAUUUAGUGGGUAAUCUCUCUACUCUUGGUCUCAAGUGGACAUUGAGUAAGUAUUACCAGAUACAUAUAUGUUUCAGAUGUGUAGAUUUAUAGUAUAUACUUGCAUCAGGAUUAGGCAGUAUGAGAUUCAACCUAUGAAUAUUUUCCCACUUCUGUUACUUCUUCUACAUUUAUAAAUCAAGAGUAACACAAAAAUUCAUUUCAUAAUACAUUAUUUUGAUAUUCUUUCAUCAUUUGAAUGAAAAGCAGCUUAUAUUUAAAAGGGAGAGAAGAAAAAAAACCAACUAACCUUGAGUUUCUGCUGAAGUAGCUGAGGAUCCAAGAUGCUCUAGGCUGCAAGCUGAAGUUUGAAGAAAAUUCAGCCUGCUGACUUUUAUCCUCUCUUUUGGACAAGAUGACUGUGGGCAAUUUGGGCCUCUGGCUAUGAAACAUGAACCUGUCUAUCCGCGUUAUUAAUGGAUACUUGAUGGGAUGAGCUAACAAUGACUUUGGUUUCUUUGAAAAAAGGAAAUUUCUUGAGAUAGGAAAAGCCAAAUAAACAGAAAUACGGUGACAACAACUAACAUUUAUAGACUGCUUAUGAUGUGCUAAGCAUUGUAUUAAGUACUUUAAAUGGUUUAUUUAAUUUAAUACUUACAGUCAAUCUAUGACAUGCAUACUAUCAUUACCCCUAUUUUAUAGAUGAGAAAAUCAAGGUUUCAAGAAGUUAAGUAACUACUCAAGCUCACAUUAGCUAGAAAUAGAGUAGAACUGAAAUUUUGCUCUAUAUACUUUAGAACCAUCAUUUUCCUAUAGACCUUAACAUAUUAUAUUUUGCUGCAUCCUUCAUGUGGAGAAUGAAAUUCCAGGCCAAUCAACAAGUCAUGAAAGUAAGCCCUCCUCUCUCCGGGUUAAAAUAUAAUUGGACUUGGCCAGGCGCGGUGGCUCACGCCUGUAAUCCCAGCACUUUGGGAGGCAGAGGUGGGCGGAUCAUGAGGUCAGGAGAUCGAGACUAUCCUGGCUAACACAGUGAAACCCCGC